GCCCCGUUAGCUCAGUUGGUAGAGCACGUGACUUUUAGCCUUGUGCGAUCACGCGGUCGCGGGUUCGAGCCCCGCGCGGGGCU
Dioszegia hungarica is the source of this 83-nucleotide non-coding RNA. NCBI's taxonomy places the organism in Eukaryota, Fungi, Basidiomycota, Tremellomycetes, Tremellales, Bulleribasidiaceae. The record is from the annotation of a RefSeq genome assembly.